AUGCAACUGCUUUUCACAAUAGCGCCACCAUACAAUAGCCCACCAGACCCGCCGCAGAAUCAUGCACCCUUUACCCGCACAACCAGCUUCACACGCUCCGGCCACUACUAUUGUGACAUCACCGGACCAAGCCGACACGUAACCACGACCACUCUCUCCGCUUCAUCACCUCAAGCCGAAUCGUCUUUGACCGCGUUGUAG
This is a non-coding RNA of Vicia faba (fava bean), 201 nucleotides long. Lineage: Eukaryota; Viridiplantae; Streptophyta; Magnoliopsida; Fabales; Fabaceae. The record is from the annotation of a GenBank genome assembly.